AGUGUAGGCGGAAAUUCAAGUCAGAAGUGUAAUCUCCGGGCUCAACUCGGAUCUCGCUUUUGAAACUGUUUUUCUUGAGUAGUGGAGAGGGAGAUGGAAUUCCAGGUGUAGCGGUGGAAUGCGUAGAUAUCUGGAAGAACACCAGUAGCGAAGGCGAUCUCCUGGCCACAUACUGACGCUGAGGCUCGAAAGCGUGGGGAGCAAACAGGAUUAGAUACCCUGGUAGUCC
Molecule: ribosomal RNA, 229 nt
Filed under: uncultured bacterium
Lineage: Bacteria
Description: partial 16S ribosomal RNA
Rfam family: Bacterial small subunit ribosomal RNA
Source: RNAcentral